GAUGAACGCUGGCGGCGUGCCUAAUACAUGCAAGUCGAACGAAAAGACGAGGAGCUUGCUCCUCUGACGUUAGCGGCGGACGGGUGAGAAACACGUGGAAACCCUACCUAUAAGUCUGGGAUAAUUUCGGGAAACGGGCGCUAAUCCCGGAUGAUCUAUUGCACCACAUGGUUGAAUAGUGAAAGACGGCUUUGCUGGAACUACUAGAUGGAUCCGCGCCGCAUUAGCUUGUUGGUAAGGUAACGGGUUUCCAAGGCGACGAUGCGUAUCCGACCUGAUAGGGUGGGCGGCCGCACUGGGACUGAGACACGGCCCAUAGUCCUACGGGUGGCACCCGUAGGGAAUCUUCCGCAAUGGGCGGAAGCCUGACGGAGCAGCGCCGCGGGAUUAAUGAAGGUCUUCGGGUCGGAAAACUCUGUUAUUAGGUUAUAACAAAUUUGUAAGUAACUAGGCGCGUCUUGACGGUACCUGAUCAGAAAGCCACGGCUAACUUCGUU
This 497-nucleotide ribosomal RNA is filed under the name uncultured bacterium. RNAcentral's name for it is "partial 16S ribosomal RNA". It matches the Rfam family "Bacterial small subunit ribosomal RNA", at positions 28 to 507 of the family's 1533-position model. The record is from RNAcentral.